This 447-nucleotide ribosomal RNA is filed under the name uncultured bacterium. Its description in RNAcentral is "bacterial SSU rRNA". It matches the Rfam family "Bacterial small subunit ribosomal RNA", at positions 29 to 524 of the family's 1533-position model. The record is from RNAcentral.
AACGAACGCUGGCGGCAGGCCUAAUACAUGCAAGUCGAACGCUCCGCAAGGAGAGUGGCAGACGGGUGAGUAACGCGUGGGAACCUUUCCAGUGGUACGGAAUAGCCCAGGGAAACUCGGGGUAAUACCGUAUAAGCCCUUACGGGGAAAGAUUUAUCGCCAUUGGGUGGGCCCGCGUCGGAUUAGCUAGUUGGUGGGGUAAUGGCCUACCAAGGCGACGAUCCGUAGCUGGUCUGAGAGGAUGAUCAGCCACACUGGGACUGAGACACGGCCCAGACUCCUACGGGAGGCAGCAGUAGGGAAUAUUGGACAAUGGGCGCAAGCCUGAUCCAGCCAUGCCGCGUGAGUGACGAAGGCCUUAGGGUUGUAAAGCUCUUUUGGCGGGAAGAUAAUGACGGUACCCGCAGAAUAAGCUCCGGCUAACUUCGUGCCAGCAGCCGCAGUAAU